GAUGAACGCUGGCGGCGUGCCUAAUACAUGCAAGUCGAGCGAACGGACGAGAAGCUUGCUUCUCUGAUGUUAGCAGCGGACGGGUGAGUAACACGUGGAUAACCUACCUAUAAGACUGGGAUAACUUCGGGAAACCGGAGCUAAUACCGGAUGAUAUUUUGAACCGCAUGGUUCAAAAGUGAAAGACGGUCUUGCUGUCACUUAUAGAUGGAUCCGCGCUGCAUUAGCUAGUUGGUAAGGUAACGGCUUACCAAGGCAACGAUGCAUAGCCGACCUGAGAGGGGGAUCGGCCACACUGGAACUGAGACACGGUCCAGACUCCUACGGGAGGCAGCAGUAGGGAAUCUUCCGCAAUGGGCGAAAGCCUGACGGAGCAACGCCGCGUGAGUGAUGAAGGUCUUCGGAUCGUAAAACUCUGUUAUUAGGGAAGAACAUAUGUGUAAGUAACUGUGCACAUCUUGACGGGACCUAAUCAGAAAGCCACGGCUAACUACGU
RNAcentral lists this ribosomal RNA (496 nucleotides) under uncultured bacterium. RNAcentral's name for it is "partial 16S ribosomal RNA". It matches the Rfam family "Bacterial small subunit ribosomal RNA", at positions 28 to 506 of the family's 1533-position model. The record is from RNAcentral.